UGGGGAAUUUUGGACAAUGGGCGAAAGCCUGAUCCAGCAAUGCCGCGUGUGUGAAGAAGGCCUUCGGGUUGUAAAGCACUUUUGUCCGGAAAGAAAUCCUUGGCUCUAAUACAGUCGGGGGAUGACGGUACCGGAAGAAUAAGCACCGGCUAACUACGUGCCAGCAGCCGCGGUAAUACGUAGGGUGCAAGCGUUAAUCGGAAUUACUGGGCGUAAAGCGUGCGCAGGCGGUUUGCUAAGACCGAUGUGAAAUCCCCGGGCUCAACCUGGGAACUGCAUUGGUGACUGGCAGGCUAGAGUAUGGCAGAGGGGGGUAGAAUUCCACGUGUAGCAGUGAAAUGCGUAGAGAUGUGGAGGAAUACCGAUGGCGAAGGCAGCCCCCUGGGCCAAUACUGACGCUCAUGCACGAAAGCGUGGGGAGCAAACAGGAUUAGAUACCCUGGUAGUCCACGCCCUAAACGAUGUCAACUAGUUGUUGGGGAUUCAUUUCCUAGUAACGUAGCUAACGCGUGAAGUUGACCGCCUGGGGAGUACGGUCGCAAGAUUAAAACUCAAAUGAAUUGACGGGGUCAUAGCUG
This 578-nucleotide ribosomal RNA is filed under the name uncultured bacterium. RNAcentral describes it as "partial 16S ribosomal RNA". It matches the Rfam family "Bacterial small subunit ribosomal RNA", at positions 355 to 932 of the family's 1533-position model. The record is from RNAcentral.